Homo sapiens (human) is the source of this 1560-nucleotide long non-coding RNA. The record is from Ensembl. Lineage: Eukaryota; Metazoa; Chordata; Mammalia; Primates; Hominidae.
GGGCUCUUCUCGGGGAGUGGAGUGCUAUGACAGAUGAGACUUUCAUGCAAGAAAAUAAAUCCUGCACAUUUGAUGUACUGCUUUAAACUUAAAGACCUCUUUGGACCCGAAAUUGUAAGAUCCUGAGUGGCAACUGGAAAGGAUUCGUGGUUACUUGGAUCUAGGAAAAUCCUGUUUUAUCUCUGAUGGGACUAAGACAAAGCACUCCUGUUAGUACAACCCAGCUUGCGUUCCUCCCUGCCUGCAGAGGAAGCAUUUGGAUGCUUCCCUUCCCGUUGGAAGUUGCCAGUCUCUCUUCAGAGUGAUGAGGGCAGAACUGGUCAUUACGGAAAGAGUCGGAGGAACGGUGCCACAGCAUCAGGUUCAGGCAAGUUAACCACCUGGGACGGUAAACUACCGAAGUCUGCUUCUGCUUCCAAAGGAGAACCGCAGUGAAAGUGGUGGACAUGUCCUACCAUCUGUAAGCUCAAGAUCCUCUAGAGAACUGCAGGAUUCAGGGUGCUCUACUGACAGUACCUGGGGCAGCCGGAUCAGGAAAGAGUUUGUCUAGCCACAGUUGUCCCUUGCAGACUUGUGGUUUUGUCACAAGGAGAUAAUAUUUUCAGCAAAAAAUAUAAACUUUCCCUCAAGACACAAAUUAGAAAAUAUGGUGGUGCGGUCCCUGGUGAGGAAGCCAUCCUUCCAGGCCCAGAAUUUCCUGCCCUGUCCAUUUCCAACUUAUCAUAAAUACUUUCCUGACCCCUAAAAUGCAGGACACUGAUCAACUCAGUUAAGAAGUUUUUAUUUCAAGCCUGCUGGGCUUUACAAAGGACUGCAUUUGACUCUGGGCAUGGAUUCAAAGUCCUUUUGAAUAAAUGACCUGCUUAUCUAGCUGUCAAAAUGUGGACCUCACUGGCACUCUUAACUAUAGCCCUGAUUCAAGUUUAUGUGCCAGAAACGGAACUUCUGUCUUUCAAAUUCAACAAGGUCUUCAGACCAUGGCCGCCUUGCACAAUAUGGACCAGCAGUUGCUAUUAGAGCAACUAAGGGUAUUUACGGUUUAUUCAAAUAAUGUAGUGCAAAGAAUAGGAGGUUUGAAAGCCUGGCGAGGAGUGGAAGAAUUGACUUCCAUAAAUCUAGGGCCCUAAAAAUACCUUUUUUGUUCAAGCGUUGGAAAGAAUUUUGUCGACCUUUCUGCUUCAUUGGCAUUUCUUUACGUUUUCCUGGUAACCAGAGACAAGUUGCACAAUCGGUGUGGCAUUUGGCUCCUGAUUCUGGGGGAGAGGGAGCGCUGUCUGCUUUUUCAGCAGGCCCAGCACAGUGGAGCGCGGAGCAUUCAGCACUGGGGGAGCCUGCCAGCAGCUGGCCCUGCCAAACUAAACAGGAAUCAGCGCGGACAAAGGGAAGAUUAUGUGGUGGAAAAAGGAUACCCCGAAUUAAGGCAGGAAAGCCACGUCAAUUAUAUUUGGAAGCGGUGUCUCUCCCCCGGGUUACAAAGCCGUGUCUCUAAGAUUUCUGAGGAUGUUGCUGUUUCACCGAAAGCUCACCCACAAAAGGUCAGUGGGUGGAGUUCAAACAAAA